GGGAGACUGGAAUUCCUGGUGUAGCGGUGGAAUGCGCAGAUAUCAGGAGGAACACCGGUGGCGAAGGCGGGUCUCUGGCCAGUAACUGACGCUGAGGAGCGAAAGCGUGGGGAGCGAACAGGAUUAGAUACCCUGGUAGUCCACGCCGUAAACGGUGGGUACUAGGUGUGGGUUUCCUUCCUUGGGAUCCGUGCCGUAGCUAACGCAUUAAGUACCCCGCCUGGGGAGUACGGCCGCAAGGCUAAAACUCAAAGAAAUUGACGGGGGCCCGCACAAGCGGCGGAGCAUGUGGAUUAAUUCGAUGCAACGCGAAGAACCUUACCUGGGUUUGACAUGCACAGGACGACGGCAGAGAUGUCGUUUCCCUUGUGGCCUGUGUGCAGGUGGUGCAUGGCUGUCGUCAGCUCGUGUCGUGAGAUGUUGGGUUAAGUCCCGCAACGAGCGCAACCCUUGUCUCAUGUUGCCAGCGGGUAAUGCCGGGGACUCGUGAGAGACUGCCGGGGUCAACUCGGAGGAAGGUGGGGAUGACGUCAAGUCAUCAUGCCCCUUAUGUCCAGGGCUUCACACAUGCUACAAUGGCCGGUACAAAGGGCUGCGAAGCCGCGAGGUGGAGCGAAUCCUUUAAAGCCGGUCUCAGUUCGGAUCGGGGUCUGCAACUCGACCCCGUGAAGUUGGAGUCGCUAGUAAUCGCAGAUCAGCAACGCUGCGGUGAAUACGUUCCCGGGCCUUGUACACACCGCCCGUCACGUCAUGAAAGUCGGUACACCCGAAGCCGGUGGCCUAACCCGUAAGGGAGGGAGCC
Molecule: ribosomal RNA, 802 nt
Filed under: uncultured Actinomycetes bacterium
Lineage: Bacteria; Bacillati; Actinomycetota; Actinomycetes
Description: bacterial SSU rRNA
Rfam family: Bacterial small subunit ribosomal RNA
Source: RNAcentral